Molecule: ribosomal RNA, 263 nt
Filed under: uncultured bacterium
Lineage: Bacteria
Description: partial 16S ribosomal RNA
Rfam family: Bacterial small subunit ribosomal RNA
Source: RNAcentral
UGGGGAAUAUUGCACAAUGGGCGAAAGCCUGAUGCAGCAACGCCGCGUGAGUGAUGAAGGUCUUCGGAUUGUAAAGCUCUGUCUUUUGGGACGAUAAUGACGGUACCAAAGGAGGAAGCCACGGCUAACUACGUGCCAGCAGCCGCGGUAAUACGUAGGUGGCGAGCGUUGUCCGGAUUUACUGGGCGUAAAGGGUGCGUAGGCGGAUGUUUAAGUGAGAUGUGAAAUACCCGGGCUUAACUUGGGUGCUGCAUUUCAAACUG